GACGAACGCUGGCGGCGUGCUUAACACAUGCAAGUCGAGCGGAAAGGCCCUUUCGGGGGUACUCGAGCGGCGAACGGGUGAGUAACACGUGAGUAAUCUGCCCUUGGCUUUGGGAUAACUACCGGAAACGGUGGCUAAUACCGGAUACGACCACUCCUUGCAUGAGGUGGUGGUGGAAAAGUUUUUCGGCCAGGGAUGUGCUCGCGGCCUAUCAGCUUGUUGGUGGGGUAAUGGCCUACCAAGGCUUCGACGGGUAGCCGGCCUGAGAGGGUGACCGGCCACACUGGGACUGAGACACGGCCCAGACUCCUACGGGAGGCAGCAGUGGGGAAUAUUGGACAAUGGGCGGAAGCCUGAUCCAGCAACGCCGCGUGAGGGAUGACGGCCUUCGGGUUGUAAACCUCUUUCAGUACCGACGAAGCGCCGAUGAUGGUGGUGACGGUAGGUACAGAAGAAGCACCGGCCAACUACGUG
This 474-nucleotide ribosomal RNA is filed under the name uncultured bacterium. RNAcentral's name for it is "bacterial SSU rRNA". It matches the Rfam family "Bacterial small subunit ribosomal RNA", at positions 28 to 507 of the family's 1533-position model. The record is from RNAcentral.